AGGAUAAACGCUGGCGGCGUGCCUUAUGCAUGCAAGUCGAACGAGGUUAGGAUUUCGGUCCGAAGCCUAGUGGCGCACGGGUGAGUAACACGUACGUGACCUGUCCCGACGUGGGGGAUAACCAGCCGAAAGGUUGGCUAAUACCGCAUGUGGACUCUCCUUGGAAGGGGAAGUCCAAAGUAGCAAUACGCGUUGGGAGGGGCGUGCGGCCGAUUAGCUAGUUGGUGUGGUAACGGCACACCAAGGCGAUGAUCGGUAGC
RNAcentral lists this ribosomal RNA (260 nucleotides) under uncultured bacterium. RNAcentral's name for it is "partial small subunit ribosomal RNA". It matches the Rfam family "Bacterial small subunit ribosomal RNA", at positions 26 to 287 of the family's 1533-position model. The record is from RNAcentral.